GAGUAGGAAGGACGCACCGGUGGCUGAGAAGGUGUCCGAGGAAACUCGGCCUGGAGCCGCCGGUGAUGCAGAUCUUGGUGGUAGUAGCAAAUACUCAAGUGAGACCCUUGAGGACCAAUGUGGAGAAGGGUUCCAUGUGAACAGCAGUUGAACAUGGGUCAGUCGGUCCUAAGGCAUGCGGGGAAACCCGAUCCAAAGUCCCGGAGGAACUAACGUAAAUCUGGGGUCCGCGGUGUAUGCCGAAAGGGAAUCAGGUUAAUAUUCCUGAACCUAGUCACGGAGAUAGCCUCUUAAUUGAGGCCAGUGCGGUAACGCAAACGAGCUCGGAGAAGUCGGUGGGAGCCCUGGGGAGAGUUGUCUUUUCUUUGUAAGGUCUUGAUUCCCUGGAAUCGGUUUAACCGGAGAUAGGGAGGAAAAGACCGUAAAGCACUGCGGCUCUUGCAGUGUCCAGAGUGCUCUCGUCGGCCCGUGAAAAUCCGAGUGAGGUGGUGUUAUUUUCUUGCUAGACCGUACAGAUAUCCGCAGCUGG
Molecule: ribosomal RNA, 529 nt
Filed under: Copidognathus sp. KE0812_7
Lineage: Eukaryota; Metazoa; Arthropoda; Arachnida; Trombidiformes; Halacaridae
Also listed under: 1 other name
Description: eukaryotic LSU rRNA
Rfam family: Eukaryotic large subunit ribosomal RNA
Source: RNAcentral